Molecule: ribosomal RNA, 1207 nt
Filed under: metagenome
Description: bacterial SSU rRNA
Rfam family: Bacterial small subunit ribosomal RNA
Source: RNAcentral
UGAUCAGCCACACUGGAACUGGAACACGGUCCAGACUCCUACGGGAGGCAGCAGUGAGGAAUUUUGCGCAAUGGGGGAAACCCUGACGCAGCAACGCCGCGUGAGUGAAGAAGGCCCUUGGGUCGUAAAGCUCUGUCGACGGGGAAGAAAUUGCAUCAUAUUAAUAGUAUGUAGCAUUGACGGUACCUGUAGAGGAAGCACCGGCUAACUCCGUGCCAGCAGCCGCGGUAAUACGGGGGGUGCAAGCGUUAUUCGGAAUUAUUGGGCGUAAAGGGCGCGUAGGCGGUCUUGUCGGUCAGAUGUGAAAGCCCGGGGCUCAACCCUGGAAGUGCAUUUGAAACAGCAAGACUUGAGUACGGGAGAGGAGAGCGGAAUUCCUGGUGUAGAGGUGAAAUUCGUAGAUAUCAGGAGGAACACCGAUGGCGAAGGCAGCUCUCUGGACCGAUACUGACGCUGAGGCGCGAAGGUGCGGGUAGCGAACAGGAUUAGAUACCCUGGUAGUCCACACAGUAAACGUUGUUCACUCGGUGUGUCGGAUAUUAAAAUCUGAUGUGCCCAAGCUAACGUGGUAAGUGAACCGCCUGGGGAGUACGGUCGCAAGACUAAAACUCAAAGGAAUUGACGGGGGCCCGCACAAGCGGUGGAGCAUGUGGUUUAAUUCGACGCAACGCGAAGAACCUUACCUGGAUUUGACAUCCUGUGAAUCCCUCAGAGACGAGGGAGUGCCUUCGGGAACACAGUGACAGGUGUUGCAUGGCUGUCGUCAGCUCGUGUCGUGAGAUGUUUGGUUAAUUCCAGCAACGAGCGCAACCCUUAUCGUUAGUUGCCAGCACGUAAUGGUGGGAACUCUAGCGAGACUGCCCCGGUUAACGGGGAGGAAGGUGGGGAUGACGUCAAGUCCUCAUGGCCCUUAUAUCCAGGGCUACACACGUGCUACAAUGGUAAGUACAGAGGGCAGCAAGCCAGUGAUGGUUAGCUAAUCCCUAAAGCUUAUCUCAGUCCGGAUUGGAGUCUGCAACUCGACUCCAUGAAGUUGGAAUCGCUAGUAAUCGCGGAUCAGCAUGCCGCGGUGAAUAUGUUCCCGGGCCUUGUACACACCGCCCGUCACACCAUGAGAGUUGAUUAUACCCGACGUCGUUGGGCUAACCCUUCGGGAGGCAGGCGCCUAAGGUAUGGUUGAUAAUUGGGGUGAAGUCGUAACAAGGUA